This is a long non-coding RNA of Apus apus (common swift), 1566 nucleotides long. RefSeq lists it as uncharacterized. The record is from RefSeq and is a predicted model, not a curated record. The transcript is spliced from 3 exons. NCBI's taxonomy places the organism in Eukaryota, Metazoa, Chordata, Aves, Apodiformes, Apodidae.
CCGUGGAUCAAGCCACGUGGUCGUCUUGGUGUUGUGACUGUAGAGCAGAACACACCCCAUUAGAAGAGAACUCCCUCAGUCACAGCACAAAAUGCUAAAAAAGGCAACAAGGACGCUCAGAGGAACGAGCACACUGAAGACUCCCCAGGACAGAUGUGAAAUAUCAGAGCUGUGAACUUUGAAAAGCUGACAUGAAAACACUGAACUCUGCUCUUCCCCUGCCAAACAGAAUUAACCUUGUAUUAUGUGUCUGAGCCUACGCUGAAAAAUCAACAUGGCAGAACUCCAAGUUGACUACGCUUUGUUGCCGUUCCUACAUAGAGAACAGUGUUUGUAAUGCCAUCAACCCACCCUCCCCAAUCCUACUAAUAUUCCUCAAAGCACCAGAAUGAAAAGUAGAGAAGACUCAAACUGCCAGUAAAACAUAAACCACCCUCCUGCAAGCUACAAGAAAUAGCUCCCAAAAAUCCCUGCAGAAAACUUCAAAUACAGGCCUCCCCCCUUCAGUCCUCAGGUUCAUGUCACAACAAAGUCUGUGACCUUCACCCAACCACCAGCCCGGCCACCAGCCGCUCUGUGCUAUCGUGUUGCCAGCCCCAAAGCUUGCAGGACUAGGUCAGGUCUGGUCAAUAUGAGCCUAUCUUAAACAUUCACACAGGGAUCAUCUGCAAAUGCAAUGUGAUGGCUUCUCUCCACCCUCGGUUCUUCCCCCUUGAGAUCAGUAACCAUGGCAGCAAAAGGAAAAGGGAUUCCUGCCAAUCUUUGAAACAUCUGAAUGGAUGGACACUUGUCCAGGCUCAAUAUCCUCUGCUUUAUUCCUACCCAAAAACUCCCCUUUAGGCAGUUUCAGGUUGUGCAAUAGUUCCCUUAACCAAAAAUAAUCUGAAAAUUUUACAGUAUGAGCUAGUGUUGCCCCUUAAAGCAACUGUUUAGCUAAAAGAGUAAUCUCCUCAAAAUUAAACAAUAACAUUUACAGCGUAUGGAUUAUACUCUGCAAAGGAUUCUGUUAUUUUAAGAGUGGAUACAUUUUUCCUUCCUCCUCAUGUAACUGGCCAAUGCCCAGCACUACAUGUUCUCUACUGAGCAGUGCAUUUUAUGAUGCAAUUGCACAUCUGGCUGGGAGAACAGCUGUUUCUUUUUAAAAGAUAAUUUCAAAAUCGAGAAAAAAACACCAGUUUGAAUAGAAAACUGCCUUCAAACUUCACCAAAACUAAGGAAGCAGCUCAAGCAAACAUGAAUGUUAUUUGUACUUCUUAUCCAUUCAUACAAUACUUAAGGGAAUUUCACCCCUUGUCAACCAACCUAUCCCUCCACUGCCAUUAACUGCUUCCUUUUCCUCCUCUUCCUCCUCUUCAGGGAGAGAACUGUCCAUCCUUUGCAUUUUGCUGACAGAUGUGGUUCUUUUCCUCUGUGACUCAGUAUCAAAAUCAUUGUCAAAAAGAACUUGAUCCACCGGGUCAGGCUGAAAGGGGCUGGGCUCUGCUGGAGGCUUCGGAGUGCCAUAAAAAUUACCUGUCAAUGAAACAAAAAUAAAGAUUACUAGAACACUGAUACCUGCUGAAAGUA